GUUGGAGAGAAUGUCUUUACAGAUCGGAUUUCAGCGAUUUUUGAAACAAAUACUAUAAUAAUUUUUAAAUAUUACAUUUCUUUAUAUGAAUAAUUACUUUUUUUUGUAACAAUAAUUAUUGAUCAAGUACAAAUACAAAUUCUCACAUGAAUAAAAAUUACUAGGCAACUAAAUACAUGUAUUCACUUUGGAUUUCCCUAAACUUCACCGAGGAAACAAGCUUGAAAUAACAAGAAAACGAAAUGGAGGACAGAAAACCAUCUCCAUUCUCAACCCCUUCCGAAUCAACCACCACCUCCACGAAGACGCCGAUCUAUCGCAGCAAGGAGCCCUCCCCACCGUCGGAGCGAGGCAGCGGCCGGCGAGAUCCAGUGACGUCGGAGCGAAGACACACACAGCGACGACUGCGUCUCGCAGUGGCUUCAGAGGGCGCGGCUUGAUGUCGAAGAGCUCCACCUUGGCGGAGGAGGACCGGCGGCGCGCGUAGGAAGAGAGAAGACGGAGAGAAGAAGAGAGAAAAUGGGAGAGAAAAAAAAGAGCGGCUGAUUAGGGUUUGGCUGAGAAAAUAAAAAGGGCUUUUAUAUUUUUUGGUGUUGGACCGGGCCGGAUCUGUAAGCGGGUCGGGCUGGACCCGUCGCAUAGUAUGCGACCGUAUGCACACAAUAAUUUGCGUAUAGAGAAAAGUAGCAAUUAAACCCCUAACAUGGACACUCCUAUGGCGUUUAGCCCCAUAUACUUGAUAUUGAAUCAAUC
RNAcentral lists this long non-coding RNA (753 nucleotides) under Salvia miltiorrhiza (redroot sage). Its description in RNAcentral is "long non-coding RNA (SMIL_LNC008955)". Lineage: Eukaryota; Viridiplantae; Streptophyta; Magnoliopsida; Lamiales; Lamiaceae. The record is from RNAcentral.